AUUGGAGGAAAGUAGGGGAUCGCAAGACCUCACGUUUUCGGAGCGGCCGAUAUCAGAUUAGCUAGUUGGUGGGGUAAAGGCCCACCAAGGCGACGAUCGGUAGCUGGUCUGAGAGGAUGAUCGGCCACACUGGGACUGAGACACGGCCCAGACUCCUACGGGAGGCAGCAGUGGGGAAUUUUGGACAAUGGGGGCAACCCUGAUCCAGCCAUGCCGCGUGAGUGAAGAAGGCCUUCGGGUUGUAAAGCUCUUUCGGCCGGGAAGAAAUCGCGCCUGUGAAUAAUGGGCGUGGAUGACGGUACCGGAAGAAGAAGCACCGGCUAACUACGUGCCAGCAGCCGCGGUAAUACGUAGGGUGCGAGCGUUAAUCGGAAUUACUGGGCGUAAAGCGUGCGCAGGCGGUUUUGUAAGCCAGACGUGAAAUCCCCGGGCUUAACCUGGGAAUG
This 446-nucleotide ribosomal RNA is filed under the name uncultured Nitrosospira sp. RNAcentral describes it as "bacterial SSU rRNA". It matches the Rfam family "Bacterial small subunit ribosomal RNA", at positions 195 to 622 of the family's 1533-position model. The record is from RNAcentral. Lineage: Bacteria; Pseudomonadati; Pseudomonadota; Betaproteobacteria; Nitrosomonadales; Nitrosomonadaceae.